UCUGCCUGCACGAGAAAGAAAACGAUUACUCCAACUACUAAUACGUUUCCAAAUGCGAUCCCUCAAGAAAGAGAAAAUUUGCUUUUUACUACGGCCAAUAAGAGAUGGUAACCCCAAAUAAUUACCGCUACCCAAAGGAAGAUGAACAUCAAGUAUUCCAGAGAUGGUCAACCGGUUUUCCUCAGACACACACGGACUAAACAUGAUACCAGAUUUAUCAAAAUUUACAGCCUGACCUGAAGCCUUCUCAUAAACACCAAGAAUUUGCUUAAUCCGUAUAGCUUCCUCCACUGUACCAUCAAAAAAUAGUAAGGAAUCAUCUACAAAGAAAAGGUGAGAAACUCGGGGGCAACCAACUUUCGCGCAACACCCAUGCAAAAGGCC
RNAcentral lists this long non-coding RNA (384 nucleotides) under Manihot esculenta (cassava). RNAcentral's name for it is "long non-coding RNA (MESC_LNC004794)". The record is from RNAcentral. Lineage: Eukaryota; Viridiplantae; Streptophyta; Magnoliopsida; Malpighiales; Euphorbiaceae.